GACGAACGCUGGCGGCGUGCCUAAUACAUGCAAGUCGAGCGGACGAAUCGAAAGCUUGCUUUUGAUUCGUUGGCGGCGGACGGGUGAGUAACACGUGGGCAACCUGCCCUGUAGACGGGGAUAACACCGAGAAAUCGGUGCUAAUACCGGAUAACACGAAAUGUCGCAUGACGUUUCGUUGAAAGACGGCGCAAGCUGUCGCUACAGGACGGGCCCGCGGCGCAUUAGCUAGUUGGUGAGGUAACGGCUCACCAAGGCGACGAUGCGUAGCCGACCUGAGAGGGUGAUCGGCCACACUGGGACUGAGACACGGCCCAGACUCCUACGGGAGGCAGCAGUAGGGAAUCUUCCGCAAUGGACGAAAGUCUGACGGAGCAACGCCGCGUGAGCGAAGAAGGCCUUCGGGUCGUAAAGCUCUGUUGUUAGGGAAGAACAAGUAACGCAGUAACUGGCGUUACCGUGACGGUACCUAACGAGAAAGCCACGGCUAACUACGUG
This 498-nucleotide ribosomal RNA is filed under the name uncultured bacterium. RNAcentral describes it as "partial 16S ribosomal RNA". It matches the Rfam family "Bacterial small subunit ribosomal RNA", at positions 28 to 507 of the family's 1533-position model. The record is from RNAcentral.